RNAcentral lists this ribosomal RNA (403 nucleotides) under uncultured bacterium. RNAcentral describes it as "bacterial SSU rRNA". It matches the Rfam family "Bacterial small subunit ribosomal RNA", at positions 28 to 424 of the family's 1533-position model. The record is from RNAcentral.
GAUGAACGCUAGCGGCAGGCUUAAUACAUGCAAGUCGAGGGGUAACAUGGGGUAGCAAUACUCUGAUGACGACCGGCAAACGGGUGCGGAACACGUACGCAACUUUCCCAAAACUGGUGAAUAGCCCUCCGAAAGGAGGAUUAAUACACCGUAACAUAACGAGGUGGCAUCAUCUUGUUAUUAUAGCUCCGGCGGUUUUGGAUGGGCGUGCGCCUGAUUAGGUAGUUGGCGGGGUAACGGCCCACCAAGCCUACGAUCAGUAACUGGUGUGAGAGCACGACCAGUCACACGGGCACUGAGACACGGGCCCGACUCCUACGGGAGGCAGCAGUAAGGAAUAUUGGUCAAUGGACGAAAGUCUGAACCAGCCAUGCCGGCGUGAAGGAUGAAGGCCCUCUGGGUU